Molecule: ribosomal RNA, 165 nt
Filed under: uncultured bacterium
Lineage: Bacteria
Description: partial 16S rRNA
Rfam family: Bacterial small subunit ribosomal RNA
Source: RNAcentral
UAGGGAAUCUUCCACAAUGGACGCAAGUCUGAUGGAGCAACGCCGCGUGAGUGAAGAAGGUCUUCGGAUCGUAAAGCUCUGUUGUAAGAGAAGAACGUGUGUGAGAGUGGAAAGUUCACACAGUGACGGUAACUUACCAGAAAGGGACGGCUAACUACGUGCCCG